This 780-nucleotide ribosomal RNA is filed under the name uncultured Lactobacillus sp. RNAcentral's name for it is "bacterial SSU rRNA". It matches the Rfam family "Bacterial small subunit ribosomal RNA", at positions 28 to 776 of the family's 1533-position model. The record is from RNAcentral. Lineage: Bacteria; Bacillati; Bacillota; Bacilli; Lactobacillales; Lactobacillaceae.
GACGAACGCUGGCGGCGUGCCUAAUACAUGCAAGUCGAGCGAACAGAAGCAGCAGAAUUACUUCGGUAAGGACGCUGUGGAAGUUAGCGGCGGAUGGGUGAGUAACACGUGGGUAACCUACCCUUAAGACUGGGAUACCACUUGGAAACAGGUGCUAAUACCGGAUAGGAGUAUGAGCUGCAUGGCUUAUACUUUAAAGGCGGCGAAAGCUGUCACUAAAGGAUGGACCCGCGGUGCAUUAGCUAGUUGGUAAGGUAACGGCUUACCAAGGCGACGAUGCAUAGCCGAGUUGAGAGACUGAUCGGCCACAUUGGGACUGAGACACGGCCCAAACUCCUACGGGAGGCAGCAGUAGGGAAUCUUCCACAAUGGACGCAAGUCUGAUGGAGCAACGCCGCGUGAGUGAAGAAGGUUUUCGGAUCGUAAAGCUCUGUUGUUGGUGAAGAAGGAUAUAGGUAGUAACUGGCCUAUAUUUGACGGUAAUCAACCAGAAAGUCACGGCUAACUACGUGCCAGCAGCCGCGGUAAUACGUAGGUGGCAAGCGUUGUCCGGAUUUAUUGGGCGUAAAGCGAGCGCAGGCGGAGAAAUAAGUCUGAUGUGAAAGCCCACGGCUCAACCGUGGAACUGCAUCGGAAACUGUUUUUCUUGAGUGCAGAAGAGGAGAGUGGAACUCCAUGUGUAGCGGUGGAAUGCAUAGAUAUAUGGAAGAACACCAGUGGCGAGGCGGCUCUCUGGUCUGCAACUGACGCUGAGGCUCGAAAGCAUGGGUAGCGAACAGG